AGCACGAACCUCCGGGGAGCCGCUGGAUAAAAAACAAGCCGCUAUUAAAGGACACCAGUGACCCAAAUGGACUGAAAUCUGUCAGCAGAUAUCCAGCCUGCAGUGAACUGGAGAUGUGACAGAAGAGUCUGCGAGGAGUUUAAAGGCUGAAACAAAAAUCUAUGAACACGAAGGGUGAGUAGGUCGAAGGUCCGUCUGGAUGUUGACAGAGGAGAUGAAGUAAUGGGGCUGUCCCAUCUUUCACUCAGAUGGGGAUCUCAAUCAAAACAAUAACAAAAGGAGUAGUUUGAUGACAUCAUGAAGUAACGUGGGAUCAUAGGAGUUGGCGUUUUCCCCAUUGCCGAUGAAAAUCAUGACAGAAAUCAUGUUCACGGACGAGCCCUCCACAGGGAUGCGGAUGUUGGUCAGAUGACAGAGGAGCCUGCAGUCCUGCCCCGCCCCCGCCAGUGCCAGCACUGCUGCCAUGACAACCAGCUGCAUCCUCUGCCGGGUGCA
Sebastes umbrosus (honeycomb rockfish) is the source of this 495-nucleotide long non-coding RNA. RefSeq lists it as uncharacterized. NCBI's taxonomy places the organism in Eukaryota, Metazoa, Chordata, Actinopteri, Perciformes, Sebastidae. The transcript is spliced from 3 exons. The record is from RefSeq and is a predicted model, not a curated record.